This 641-nucleotide ribosomal RNA is filed under the name Nostoc sp. 'Nephroma tangeriense cyanobiont'. RNAcentral describes it as "bacterial SSU rRNA". It matches the Rfam family "Bacterial small subunit ribosomal RNA", at positions 111 to 783 of the family's 1533-position model. Lineage: Bacteria; Bacillati; Cyanobacteriota; Cyanophyceae; Nostocales; Nostocaceae. The record is from RNAcentral.
UAACGCGUGAGAAUCUGCCAUCAGGUCUGGGACAACCACUGGAAACGGUGGCUAAUACCGGAUGUGCCCUUCGGGGUGAAAGGUUAACUGCCUGUUGAUGAGCUCGCGUCUGAUUAGCUAGUUGGUGUGGUAAGAGCGCACCAAGGCGACGAUCAGUAGCUGGUCUGAGAGGACGAUCAGCCACACUGGGACUGAGACACGGCCCAGACUCCUACGGGAGGCAGCAGUGGGGAAUUUUCCGCAAUGGGCGAAAGCCUGACGGAGCAAUACCGCGUGAGGGAGGAAGGCUCUUGGGUCGUAAACCUCUUUUCUCAGGGAAGAACACAAUGACGGUACCUGAGGAAUAAGCAUCGGCUAACUCCGUGCCAGCAGCCGCGGUAAUACGGAGGAUGCAAGCGUUAUCCGGAAUGAUUGGGCGUAAAGCGUCCGCAGGUGGCUAUGUAAGUCUGCUGUUAAAGAGUCUAGCUCAACUAGAUAAGAGCAGUGGAAACUACAAGGCUAGAGUGCGUUCGGGGCAGAGGGAAUUCCUGGUGUAGCGGUGAAAUGCGUAGAGAUCAGGAAGAACACCAGUGGCGAAGGCGCUCUGCUAGGCCGCAACUGACACUGAGGGACGAAAGCUAGGGGAGCGAAUGGGAUUAGAU